UACGUAGGGUGCAAGCGUUAAUCGGAAUUACUGGGCGUAAAGCGUGCGCAGGCGGUUGUGCAAGACAGGUGUGAAAUCCCCGGGCUUAACCUGGGAACUGCACUUGUGACUGCAUCGCUGGAGUGCGGCAGAGGGGGAUGGAAUUCCGCGUGUAGCAGUGAAAUGCGUAGAUAUGCGGAGGAACACCGAUGGCGAAGGCAAUCCCCUGGGCCUGCACUGACGCUCAUGCACGAAAGCGCGGGGAGCAAACAGG
RNAcentral lists this ribosomal RNA (253 nucleotides) under uncultured bacterium. Its description in RNAcentral is "partial 16S ribosomal RNA". It matches the Rfam family "Bacterial small subunit ribosomal RNA", at positions 524 to 776 of the family's 1533-position model. The record is from RNAcentral.